AGAACGAACGCUGGCGGCAUGCCUAACACAUGCAAGUCGAACGCUUUUGGGGCUUCGGUCCCAAAGGAGUGGCGCACGGGUGAGUAGCGCGUGGGAACCUGCCCUGUUGUGGGGGAUAACCGAGGGAAACUUCGGCUAAUACCGCAUACGCCCGGGGGAAACUCCGGGGAAAGAUUUAUCGCAGCAGGAGGGGCCCGCGUCGGAUUAGGUAGUUGGUGGGGUAACGGCCCACCAAGCCUGUGAUCCGUAGCUGGUCUGAGAGGAUGAUCAGCCACACUGGGACUGAGACACGGCCCAGACUCCUACGGGAGGCAGCAGUGGGGAAUAUUGGACAAUGGGCGCAAGCCUGAUCCAGCAAUGCCGCGUGAGUGAUGAAGGCCUUCGGGUUGUAAAGCUCUUUCGCACGCGACGAUGAUGACGGUAGCGUGAGAAGAGCCCCGGCUAACUUCGCGCCAGCAGCCGC
RNAcentral lists this ribosomal RNA (463 nucleotides) under uncultured bacterium. RNAcentral's name for it is "SSU rRNA". It matches the Rfam family "Bacterial small subunit ribosomal RNA", at positions 26 to 518 of the family's 1533-position model. The record is from RNAcentral.